UACGGGGGGGGCAAGCGUUGUUCGGAAUUACUGGGCGUAAAGGGCUCGUAGGCGGCCAACUAAGUCACACGUGAAAUCCCCAGGCUUAACCUGGGAACUGCGUGUGAUACUGGAUGGCUUGAAUCCGGGAGAGGGAUGCGGAAUUCCAGGUGUAGCGGUGAAAUGCGUAGAUAUCUGGAGGAACACCGGUGGCGAAAGGCGGCGAUCCUGGACCGGUAU
This 219-nucleotide ribosomal RNA is filed under the name uncultured bacterium. Its description in RNAcentral is "partial 16S ribosomal RNA". It matches the Rfam family "Bacterial small subunit ribosomal RNA", at positions 524 to 740 of the family's 1533-position model. The record is from RNAcentral.